GUCCCGUUGGUGUAGUUGGUUAUCACGUGGGUCUCAUAAUCCCAAGGCCGAGAGUUCGAGUCUCUCACGAGACA
RNAcentral lists this transfer RNA (74 nucleotides) under Plenodomus lingam JN3. Its description in RNAcentral is "tRNA-Met (CAT) (tRNA-Met-CAT-1-1)". It matches the Rfam family "tRNA". From Rfam's summary of the family: Transfer RNA (tRNA) molecules are approximately 80 nucleotides in length. Their secondary structure includes four short double-helical elements and three loops (D, anti-codon, and T loops). The record is from RNAcentral. Lineage: Eukaryota; Fungi; Ascomycota; Dothideomycetes; Pleosporales; Leptosphaeriaceae.